GAGAGAGAGAGAGAGAGAGAGAGAGACUGGUCUUAAUUUUAACUCAGAAAGAAAAACUAAGUUAAUUUGCAGCCUGCUCUCAAGAGCUUCAUUGAGGAUCGUCGGCGCUCAGAGGGCAUGUGGACAUCCAGCUCUUGACAUAAAAACAUCGGAACCUAUAACUGGAUCCUGUCAAACAAACGACAGCAAAAAAAUAUAACAGCUGCCACGAAGUCAAAUUGAGAGAUAAAGCUUUGGAGGCUAAGGACCUUCUCAGAAGUGGACUAAAGGGCUUGCUGAAAUCUUUAAGCAAUGUUACGGAUCCCAGGGUAUCUUCUGGGCACUAAGUCAAAUAAGGCCUCUUGCCUGAGGUGUCAAUAUUUUUGGAAUCCUCUGCAAGCGUCCCCGGCCUUGGCAAGUGUGACCAUUCUAUCCCCACCCGACUGCUGCAGCAUUUAUACCAAGGGUGGCAGGCAACACAUUGUUUGGAGAAAAUCCAUUUUCUGUGAUAUUUCAUUGAAAGCAUCUUUUGGAGGGCAAGCCACCACAGCACAGAGGAUGGCACAUCGAGAGGAACAGAGGGAGACAGAAAGUGGUAACGGCAAGCCAGGCUGCCCAGCUCAGAAGCAACGCAGGCAAUGACCCUGAACAUGAGGCGUCUUUAUAGAGGCAAUCAGCUGCCAGCAAUUGAGAAACAUACAACACUGUGGUUUGUAUUUAAAAAAAAAAUACAUAUUUAUCUAAAAGAUUGAGGUGUAGAGAUGGAUGGAACACGCUGAAUAUAGUCUCGGGGCUAGAGUUGGAGAUACUCUGAGGUCCCAAUGCUCAAGAGAUCAUGAAACAUGAAACUAGAGAAAUACCAUGUUUAUACAUCAGCCCCAACACUAAUCUGAGCAUAGAGGCUUCAAAUUAUUAAUUAUAUUAGUUUCAAUAAAGGAUGCUUCGGUGACUAAGAUCAUGCAAUAAAAUACAUACAAGGAAGUAAAGCAUGCAGCCCUCUUUGCUUUCAUAGAUCACAUUUCCUCUGAAUUUUUCUGACACCAAAAUGUCACAUACAGGCAGAUAAUUCUCAGUAUGCUAUUAUAAGGGAAAGGCAGGGGAUAAUGGGAGGUACAAAUAAUGCUUUUAUUAUGUAACUUCAGUAGUUUGCAUUUUUAUUUUUAAGUUCCUUCACUUUGAGAUUAAAGUAUUAUUGCCACAUCACUCCUUUCCCUUUUAUCCCUCCACAUCUCCCCAUGUACCUCUCCUUGUUAUUUUUUAAAGCCAGGGGCUCCUUUUAAAUUAAUUGUUAUUACAUGCGUAGAUGUAUAUGUAUAUACCUAUAUUUUCCUAAAUUUAACUUACUAAGUCUCUAUAAUGUUCCUUGUAUGUAUGUUUUUAGGACUAUUAGUUACUGGAUAACUGAUUGGGGCGCUCUUCCCUGGAGAAAACUGUUGCCUAUCGUUCUUCAAGUACUGUUGAGGCCUUGUGGAUUUUACCCAGUGCACUUGCGCAUGUCUCUUGGUGACUUCAUCGUUCAACUCAUGCUUAGGAAAUCAUUGUACAUUUUAAAAUCUGUCUUUCAGCUCAAUUCUUACAACUGUCUUGUGUUCUUCUCCUCAAGCAUAAUAUGAAAUGUUAACACAGCACCCAGAACUUUCUCUGAACUCUACUGAGACUGCAUGAAGACUUGGCGAUUUGAGCGAACACUUGAGUGGAGCCUAUGUCUGCAUGGACUGCAGACGUCUCUCUAGUGUUGAAGGGUGGUUGUGUUCUCAUAUGUCUCCUCAGUGCUUCAGAAAGUGCUUACAUCUCUUGUGAAUCUCCACAGCUUUGAUUAAAAGUAUAAGCUACUGCCUUUGGGUGUGCAGAUAUAAAACAUUGAGCUGAUUUUUUGCUGAGCCUGUAACAGGCAGUAAAUCUUUUAUGACCUUACGACUUUUUGACAUGAGGCAAAUACGAGGAAAAAAAAAGAAUGUUUUCAACUUGUAAGUAUUUUAGAUUGUAAGCACAUAGGCGUUUCCAAAGGUUGUGUAAUAACCUGCUUCCACUGCCUCAUUCAUGUUCUUUUUACUUCAGUAAACCUAAAAAUUCUACAGUGUAUGGUAGAGAGGAACAAUAUUCAACAUGGGAAGAUUGACCUGGAUAUUUGACUCGAAAAUUCAAACAUGUCUAGAUUGAGAGUUUGCAGAUUAUGGGCAGCCGACUCUAGUGGUGGGUACCAUUCUCUGACAAGAGCAGACCAAGGAUGAGAUUCGGUGAAAGCUAGCUGCCACUCAGAUGGAACUGCUGUAGUCUUCCCUGUACUUUCUAUACUUUUCUUCUCUCCUUUUCAGAUUUCCAGCAGUGUCUACUUCCCUGAACACAGAUUCAUGGUGAGUGCCCUACCUUGUAUGAGGCUCCUGUUCAUUUAAGCUUGCAUGGAAUGAGAUCCCAACUGUGCUUUUCUCUGGUGACAUGAGCCCUUCCAAGAGAGAUUUCAGCAGCCAGCAGGACAUCUGUAUCUUCAACCCUCCAAACCAAUGUGACAAAAAUAGCCAUAUGUUCUGGAUCUCUGAGCACGGACCCUACUUCAAAUAUUAUGUCACUGUCAGGCCAUGUGUCUCAAUGUUGUGUUUGGAAAACAUGGCUGCCAGAAAUACCUCGUCCCCUCCCAGGAGUGGCUGCAAGGCGGGAUCUGCCUCCUGCAGACAGAAGACGACAUUGAAGGAGGAGUAUUCCAAGGAGAUCAAGGCAGUCACCACUUCCAUCAAACCCUUUCUAACUUUGGGCCAUGGAGCCCUGGGGGAGGGAGUGCAGGGUGUUUAUGACAUUUAGCCGCUUUCCCAGAACUCUUUUAUGUACUUUUAUCUUCAAAAAGAAAGAACAUAUUAAAGCGACAUAACUGAGGAGGAGCAAUACUACAUAAAGUUUAUGUUUUCCGAUCUGUUGCCCCAGAAAAUGCUUUGAUAGAACACACUUGGAGCAACACAGAUCAUUUCAAAGAAUAUCUGAGCGAUAGACCUCUUCAUAUUGCAGUUUGGCUGGCACAGAGAGACAGCUAAUUGUGAUUAGUCAAAUUCUGAUCAAACAUAUUCCUUCCUGCCCCAGACAAAAGUAAAACUGCAGGGAAAGAAAGCUUGCCAUUGGAACUGCUUUCCUAAUGAAUGCAGUUUAUAUGGGGCUGGCUGACGUGUUUCCUUUUUAAGGCUGGUUCACAGCAUCUUGCCCAGACUGGCCUUGAGCACCUGGGCUGACAUGAGCCUCCCAUAUCAGCUCCCAGAGGAUCAGGGACUCAGAGCAAACACCACUACACCUGUCUUGAGGGUGGUUAAUUUUAAAUCAUUAAUCAGGUAGGGCAAUAAAACAAAAGGAAGUUACUUUAUUUAGAAAAAAAUAUACUGAUGUCAUUUCUCUAUUUUGUUUUGUAAAUUUAUGGGGUAUUGGCGAUUGAUUAUAGAUAGGGCAAUUUAUUAUAGAUAUGAAUUUGGGGGGUGUUUGUAAAGCCAAACUGUCAGUGAUGGUAAAAGAUACUGAGGACACUCCCUUCAUCUUAGGAUAUGUCAAGAUGAAAUGUUGACAUCAAUACUUACUUGUUUGUAGCAGCCUAGCACAUCUGCUGAGCAUUGUCCCUGAUGAGAUGCUUGCUGGGAGAGCUCUGGUGUGGGGUGAUUUUUAGAGACACACUCAGCCUACGCAUAGUAUAGAAUCUUAAAUCUUACUUAUAUCACGCAGAAGGACAGGGUAGAGCCAGUUUUCAGAUAUGUGGUCAAUCCAUCUGUCUGGCUGCAUAUAAAACAUUUCUUUAUGUAUUUGUUCCUUCUCUAGAUCAGGAUGAAAUUAUGCUCCAGUCUCCUGGAAUUAGCUACUUCAAAACGAAAUGAAAUCAGCAACUAAUACUUUGUAUGGGGAGUAGGAUUAUAAAAAUUAGAGGGGGAAAAACUCAGUAUCUAAAACUGGCUUUGGAGUUGAUCACAGGUUCACAGAGGCCACAGGAAGGGGGCUCUGAACAUUGACUAAGGGCACAUGUCUUUUCAGAGAGCAAAGAUUUAGGAUAUGAUGAGAGACAUCAAAUAUUCAUUAACUUCUUGUUUAUAGCGCAGAAGAAGUCUUACACCUAAA
Alexandromys fortis (reed vole) is the source of this 4059-nucleotide long non-coding RNA. RefSeq lists it as uncharacterized. The transcript is spliced from 5 exons. Lineage: Eukaryota; Metazoa; Chordata; Mammalia; Rodentia; Cricetidae. The record is from RefSeq and is a predicted model, not a curated record.